Molecule: ribosomal RNA, 112 nt
Filed under: uncultured bacterium
Lineage: Bacteria
Description: partial 16S rRNA
Source: RNAcentral
CCGCGGUAAUCACUGACCAGCAGCCGCGGUAAUCACUGACCAGCAGCCGCGGUAAUCACUGACCAGCAGCCGCGGUAAUCACUGACCAGCAGCCGCGGUAAUCACUGACCAG